UGAGAAGGAAGGCCAGCCGCCCAGGUGUUCCCGAGUUCUAGGCACCCACCCUCUUCCCAUAGGUGCGGGCCCCGGCAGAGACCCCAGGCAGGCUAUGAGUCUGUGCAUGCAAGGUGGACUCCACCCCAUCCCCAGCCCCCUGUGGAGGUCUGGGCCCAGCUUGGCUUCUCUCUGGGGACCAGGCUGGCACUUACUGAGUGGGCACCAGUCAAGCCCACUCCCCUCAGCCUCCAGUCCCAUAGUCUGCAGGGGAAGCCACUGUGGAAUCCUCCCUGGGCCUCCCAGGCAGCAGGGUUUCCAAGAACACAGAGAUGGGGUUGUGGCCAGGUGGCCUUGGACAAACCCUCUGCUGACUCUGGGCUCAGGUCCCCAUCUGUGCACUGGGACUGGUGUCGGCAGGACUCAGGAGGGGUUCUUGACCCUCAGUGAUACUAUGACCCUAUUUGGUUUACCCAUUAGGUUGCUGUCCCUGGGUCAUACUCUCCAGAUCUUUAGGGCCUGUGUCCCAGUGGAGUGGCCCACUGUCCUUGGUGGGGCUAAUGACAUACAGAAUGGGAUGUGGGCAAGGCCUGCCCCAGGGGCUGCCAGAGCCGAGGCCUGCAGAGAAACCCAAGGAGUGUCCGGGGGGCCCCCCCAGGGGCAGAGGGGAAAGCUUGGGAGCAGGCAGGGGCAGAGUCACUGCAGCCCCACUGGGAGGUGAGAGCUGGCCUGGGUUGGUCCUGGCUGCCCUCCCUCAGGGCUGGGGCCAGGGCCUCCCAGGCAGAGGAUGCAGCUGUGUGGACCGGGCCCUCUAACACCACGCUGGGUCCUUGUGACCAGGAAACUGAGGCCGAGGCCACCUGGAGAGGUGAAGGUAGGGUGAACUCCGGAGGCGGGGAGGGGAAAGCUUGUUGGAACCAGUGAAUCGGGAUCAGGAUGUCUCCUCCGAGGGCCAAGAGCUGAGCCUAGACCCACUGCAGGCUGGACCCCAGGCUGCCCUGCUCUUGCAUGGUCUCGGGGUGGCCCUGGGUGGGGACCAGGCACUCGCUCCUUGGCAGGGUGGGCUCACCAGUCAACACAAAGCAAGUGCAUCACGGUCAAGGCUCUGUGGGCCCGGCCUGGUGCACAGGGACCCAGUGCAGGGAGAGAGGGGAGGAUCUGGAGACAGAGGGGGAUUUGGAGACCGGGGCCUGCCCUCAGGAAGCUCUCAGGCUGGAAGGAAUUAGUCAUACAGGGAGCACUGAGGGAGUUUCACCCAUCAGUAUUUUUGGACUCAGGGAAAUUUUUAGUCACCUAAAAAUUAGGAGGGGAAGAAAGAGGCCAUCCUGCUCCUUCCCCCUAGUGCUGUUCCGUCAGCUUCUCCCAGCACCUGAUAGUCAGCUGUUCCUUCUCUGGGUCAAGGCGUAGUCCCAGGCAGGCCCCUGUGAGAAUGGAGUGGGGUGAUGUCCUCGGGGAAGCACCAGAUUGAGAUAGGAGUCAACGACCGUCCCCCCACCCCCAGUUCCUGCAGACUUCGCUGCAGGAGGUGGGCUCCGAGCUGACCCAGAUGCGGCCUAAGCUCGAGAAAGCCUGGGACGUGCUGAAAGCUCAAGCCUCAAAGCUGGAGGCUCAGCAGCUGGCCCUGGAGGGUGCCCAGAACCAGGGGCUCAACUCACCCCCACCUCUGUGCCGCUGCCAGGCCUGCAUGCCCAACGAGGGACCCACAGUCUCCCCUGCCCAUUCCUGGUCACACUGUGGCCACUGGCUUUCCCUUCUUCGACUCCCUAGUCAAGUCCCUCCCAAGCCCUCACUGCCCCCUUUCCGACAGGGCUGAAGCCCUCGAAUGUGCUCACUGCCUCUCCCCACUCCCCCUCAAGGUGGCAGAGAGCCUUGCUGAGAAGCUGAGGCUGGAGCAGGAGCUGGUGGGAAAGUGAGGACCAUGGGGGGGGUGGUGAGGGGCACCCGGAUCUGAGGGGCUCUGGGGGAGAAACCCCCCUCCCUCACAGAGAUGCUCACCAGGCCCCACAGCUCUUCCCCUGCCCCUGAGAAUCUGGGGCAGGUGGCAGGGGGCGUUUGGGGACACGCUGUUAAGUGAGCCCUCUCAUCCCCUUGGGGGAUAGUGAUGGGCCUGGGGCCUGAUGUAUCGCCCUGUCUGCCUUCUCUUCUCUGAAAAGGGGAAUCUAGGGGAAGAAGCAGGAGGGAGCGUGGCUAAGUGGGUUCUGGGGGCACAGAGAGUCAGGAUGUCUGGGUUCCUGGGCCUGGCGCCAGAGAUUGAAGGAGAGUGGCCUUCAGAGCUGAAAAGUCCUGUGCUCGAGUCAGCUUCUCCACCAACCAACUAGGUGAGUAUGAGCAGGUGUGCCUUCUCUAAGCCUCAGUUUCCUCAUCUGCAAAAUGGGGGUACUGACAGUACCUACCUCAAAGGACGAUGUGAGGAUUACACGAGACAGUGCAUGGAGCACAGUGCCUGUUUCCAGUCCCCCUAAGCUUCCUGAUACCUGGGGUCCAGUUUGGGUGAGUCAGUAUUAAAGCCAUAAAACCACAGAGAUGUGCCCAAGACCAACUGUGUAUGGGGCUUCAGUCACAAAGUCUAUCCAUUGUUCCACCAACAAGGCAUUGUCUACACUUCUUAUUAAGCUCAGGAAACAAUCUGAUACAAUGUGCAGCCACCAGUGACAGACAAUGCCCACGACCAGGAGCUUGAAUACUGUUAGUGCUUGGAUUCUAUUUCACUCUGACCAAGGGCCUCAUCUUUAUGACCCUGCGUGGAGGAGCUGGACGGGGUGGGGGAUCCUGUCUUUUGCCUCAGCUGCUCUCUGGGGAUCCCGAGGGAAGCGGGGCAGAUCUGUCAGUGGACCCUCAGGCUGGGAACUGUGUCCACAGGGAACAGGAGCUGGUGCAGCUCCAAGCAUCAAGGGCUCCAGUGCCGGGAGGACAGGAGCCUCCAUCCGCCUCUCAACUGAAGAUCGUAGCCACAGCCCUGGAACCAGAGGAAAGGAGCAUCUGAGAAGCAGCCAGGGGCAGUGCCCAGGCUGGGGAAGAAAGGUGGCGUGGAGACUGAGGCCCAGAGCCACGAGGGAACAGAUUCACAGCCUCGCUCUGCAGCACAAGAGACUGAGGUCAGCCCCUGGCCCAGCCCCAGGGAGCCGGGCAGUCCUGGCACAGAGGGCCUGGAUCAAUAGGCCUCAGGAAACCAACUCUGUCAGCUGGGCCACAUGCCGCCCAGAACCAUCCUCGAUGCUGUCACUGAACACUCCCCCCAUCUACUGCCUUAAGUGAAGCAGGGUUUUGCAGAGGGGGACUCUGGCAGGGCGAUGGGACAGAACAUCUUUGGGGUUGUUUCUCCAGCAUCGUCCUCCACAAAAUGUCCUCUGCCCUCCCUGCCAUAUACAGGCUACUGUGGGGGCUGUCAAGUUCUCAACUGAUUGGUCCAGCACUGGGUGCUGAACCCAACUGAACCAAUGGUCCCCUUCCUGGGGUCACUGGACUUAGGACAAAAGAGUAAUCUUUCCUGGGCUGAAAACUGGACACAUAAAACUGGGGAGCUGUGAACCGCCGUUUUUCUCUGGGGAAAAAGGUGUAUUUCAGUAAGAGUAAAUGGAGCUGACAAUUCCCAGAAACUGAAAUUGGGAUGGAGAGAUUUUGGUUCAGCCCAGGGGGUCUCAUGCAUGCAGAAGACAUAAAGUUGACCUUUCGGAUGGUCAUCUCACCUUGCUCUGUAGCUCAGGCGUCAGGCUGAGCUGGUCUUCAGGAGGGGAGGAAUACCUUCCACGGGCAGCGCU
Molecule: long non-coding RNA, 3737 nt
Organism: Lagenorhynchus albirostris (white-beaked dolphin)
Lineage: Eukaryota; Metazoa; Chordata; Mammalia; Artiodactyla; Delphinidae
Exons: 3
Source: RefSeq, a predicted model, not a curated record